AUAUUUACCUGGCAUGGGAGAUGCCAUGACCAUGAAGGUGGUUUCCCAGGGUGUGGCUUAUCCAUUGCCCUCCAGAUCCCUCUGGAUCCCUCCAGAUCCCUCCAGAUCCCUCUAGUUCCCUCCGGAUCUCUGGAUGUGCUGAC
Molecule: small nuclear RNA, 143 nt
Filed under: Octodon degus (degu)
Lineage: Eukaryota; Metazoa; Chordata; Mammalia; Rodentia; Octodontidae
Description: U1 spliceosomal RNA (ENSODEG00000021046.1)
Rfam family: U1 spliceosomal RNA
About the family: U1 is a small nuclear RNA (snRNA) component of the spliceosome (involved in pre-mRNA splicing). Its 5' end forms complementary base pairs with the 5' splice junction, thus defining the 5' donor site of an intron.
Source: RNAcentral